Zingiber officinale is the source of this 2059-nucleotide long non-coding RNA. RefSeq lists it as uncharacterized. The record is from RefSeq and is a predicted model, not a curated record. NCBI's taxonomy places the organism in Eukaryota, Viridiplantae, Streptophyta, Magnoliopsida, Zingiberales, Zingiberaceae. The transcript is spliced from 4 exons.
CCUCUCUAUUUCUUUGCUGAUCCCUUCGUUCCCUUUGCUCUCGUGGUGCCGAUUUUUCUUCCUCUUCCCCAACUGAAGCACCGAGGUUGCCACCGCUCGCAACGCCUCCUCUCCCCCGCGUACAAAAGCAGUGCCCAAGGAGACGAAUCCCUUCUCAUUUUGCCCCGAGUUCGCCUCACACGAUCUGUAAAACAUCGCUGCCGCCACCUGAGGUCGCAUCACCAUUUGUUGAUCGCCAGUCACUGUGGGGGCUUGAGCUCUUCCAUCUUCACCACCAAGCGCCUCCCCUCUGCAAUAGAUCGCCGACCCCGCUGACCUCGUCGUGCCUCCUCGCAUUGACGGCCGAACCCUAGAUCUGCCCGACUCGAGUCGACGCCACCGUGUGCUAACAGCCGGCGUAGCCGUUCAUCCACGCGAGCAGCCAACACCGAGGGAGUUGUUCACAGUCAGCCCUUUCUGUGCCCUAGCUCUGGCCAUUAUCUCCUACAGUAGCUACUUUGCUGCUUGCUGCCAUCAUACAAGUAAGGUUUGGUGUUGAGGUAAGAAGUAGAGGAAUUGUUUCAUCUGCUGUAGCAUACACGGGUUUGAAGUUAGAAAAGGUUAGGAAUGAACUGUACUCGAAUUUAUUUAAGUUUAGGUUGAUUAUGUAUAGAUUUUGAUUAAAUUGAAUAGUGGAAAGGUUAGGGUUAAUGGAGCUAACCCCAAUUAACUUGUGAGAUAUAUUUAGUUAGGGAUUAAGUAAUGGAUUUAAUCUAAGCUUCGGAUUAGACUUGAUUAUGUGACUAAAUGAGAUAUAAUGAAAGAAUUAGAGUUCCUGAUAAAUAAGAAUUUGGUUUAGCUGAUUUGUUAUAUAUAUGUGGGAGUAGCUAAAUUAAAUGUGUUGUUAUAGGACUCUGAUUUGCGACGAGCUGUCUUACGUGGGGUUAUUUUUGGCAUGCGCUAUAUUUAAGACGGGACAUUGGCAUCCUCUCCUUGGCGGUGGAGCCCACCAUUCUCUCCUCUCGGCCUACUCGCUAGCGGGUUCAAUCCCAAUCCCUCGAUCGGUCUCAGCAACUAGCCAGCCUCAAUCUACAAAAGCUCUAGGCCCGUGAAGUUGCAAAUGAACUUCAUGCGAGUAUCAAGGCAUCAAGGAAUCCUAUUGUUUGGCUUGAAACUUCUUCAGGCUCCUUCCAGACAGCAAGUACAGAUACGUCCAUGCAUACUUCAAGAUGCUUACAAUAUUUAUUCUUCUUCUUGUGGACAAGGUUAUAGAAUUUUUUGUUUGUUUGUUUGGUGCAGGGUAUUCUCUACUGAAACAAACUACAGAAACACAACCUUGUCUAUUAGUACUAUAGAUUGCUGAUAUUAUACUUGAUUCCAUCACUAUUUGGUACCAGCAAACAUCAAUGUCUUGCAACCUUAGGAUGACUAUUCCAAUUUUCAUCAAGUAUUUCUCAAUGAGUCAAUGUUGCAAUCUCAGCUAACAAUAGUAUGUAAAUUCUGUCAUCAUUGGUUCUAUAUCCAUGUUUGUUCCUGUUGAACAAAUGGAAAAUUUAUUCUAAAGUAGGGAGGAUGAAUCAAAUAAAUUAACCUAAUUUGCUGAAGUGGAACCAAAGUCAGUUGCUUGUCUUACCUGAACCUAAUUUUCUUUGGCACUGAACUACAAAAUUGAUUUUGUUGGAAUGUUUACAUGAGUUCACUAAGGAAAUAAAUUUUAAAACCCAUUUAUGUUAUAGAGUAAGAAAAUAAACAUAUGCUAAUUUAUGUUCUCCUUUUUAUUGACUCCAACAUCCCUAUUUAUUAUAAUCUUCAUUGCAGCCCUUGAUGAUGCUAAAGAUAGGAGAAAGCAUUGAUCACUAUCCUCUUCUCCUAGAGUUGUCAUUCUUGUGCGGAUGGAAAUUAUAUCAUUUAAGCUCCAAGUUCUACUGGCUGAGUUUUUAUUGGGUGUGAUAAUCUUCUUGUUUUGUUCUUAAUUGCAAGAUCUUUUUUUUUUGUAAAUUUGCUAAAUUGAUUGAGGAGUUGAUUAAGUUCCUUAAUUGUAUAUAUCCACGCUUACUCAAUAAAGUUAUACUUGGCAUUA